Long non-coding RNA from Polypterus senegalus (gray bichir), 2723 nucleotides. RefSeq lists it as uncharacterized. The transcript has 2 exons. The record is from RefSeq and is a predicted model, not a curated record. Lineage: Eukaryota; Metazoa; Chordata; Cladistia; Polypteriformes; Polypteridae.
UUUUUCUUUUCUCUUCCUUAGAAUAUUGUUGCUGGUGAGAAAGUUUUGUAUAGUCUUUAUGGGAUAGUAGAACACAGUGGCUCAAUGCGUGGUGGCCAUUACACAGCAUAUGUAAAAAUCAGGGCACCACCAAAAAAACAGGAUUACAGAAAGCAUGUUAUGGGUCUAAAAGAAGCAACUGGAGGAUUACCAGGUCAAUGGGUCUAUGUCAGUGACACACAUGUACAAGCUGUUCCUGAAUCAAGAGUACUCAAUUCUCAGGCCUAUCUGCUUUUUUAUGAAGAAUUAUUAUAGUUAAUGGGCUUUAGCCUGGGACAAGUGACUUUUACAAAAGCAAUAUGAUAUUGUGUUUAUGUGAGGGGGGAAAGCAAUGUCAAAACAGAUUACUUCUUAGUACAGCUGAUUAUGAUACAUUUAAAGUACUGCCUCAGCAUGUUCGCUCUUUAAUAAUGAAAAUGAUGAUAAUUCAAGCAUAAUCAAAUCUGUUUAUAUAGUACAUAUUUUUUUCUCUGAUAGGUUAAGAACAUUUUUUGUUGCAUGAUUGUAAACGCCCAUUCUAGAGCAAAUAAAUAUUUUUGAAACAGCAAUUGAUACACAUACACAAAAAUUAAAAAACUAUGUCAAUUUAAAAUCAAUGGAUGAAAAUAGGAUAUGAUCUUAUUUUUUUCUCCCUGCCAAAAUGUAUACUGUUUUGAUAUAAUGUUUAUACUGAUAAAUUUGUAAUCAAAAGCCAUUAGUAUGUUUUAUUUCUUGCGCUGUAUUUGAUAAAUUGUACUACUCAAUACAAAUGCAUAACAGGUCCUGUGCAGUAGCUGGCAUACACUGAUUUAUUUGCACAUUCAGUAUUAGGUAGUGUUUCAAUUGGAUAUUGCUGAAGAAACUCUUUUUUCUCAAAAACAGCUGAACAUAUUGCACUUUAAAUUUUAAAUUUAGUUGCAAAGCUCCAAAUAUAUUUUUUUCAUUUUGUACUUCAAAAAUGCAGUGUACAGUAUAUCCUACCAGGAGCAGAUGAGGAAAACAUGCAGAUGUUCUUAUUGUAAUUUUGAGGGAAAGAAAAUACUGAUGUUCACUUGCAAUAAUCCAUAUUUUGGCAUAAUUAUGUGGCAGAUGUGUUAUUUUUUUAACUUUAUUUUCAUAAAAAGUAAAUAGGAAUGUAAUGGGUGUGUUGUAAUUUUAUUUUACUGUAUUUCUUAUGAUGAACAAAGGUUGUUCAUUUAUAAGGUUUUGUUGCUAUUAGUCAUAAUUUUUUUUUUCUUACAGUUGCAUUUGCACUUUCAAUGUAAAGAAUAAUGAUUGUUAAAAAUUUAGUGGAAUGCCAUUCAUAUAUCUUAAAAAGAUAUCUAUGUAACAGAAAAUAUUAAUAAACCACAGAAUGGCUUAAAGGUUUUAUGUUAUACUGCUUGUAAAAAUAAUAACAUCUCUACAUGUCCCAUUUAACAAUGGAAAGUUUAAUGUUAAAAGAAAACAAACAGUGGUUUUCUGUAUAGAAAUACUACUUCUGUGUAUGGGUGAAAGUACACUUUGUUUCUAUAUAUCUCUCUCGGCUCUUGUCCAGUGUCUGCAUUUUUGUGGUAACUCACAUUAUACACCUUUCAUUAAAGAUUUACAGUCUCUUAUCGAUCCACCAUUGAACAAACACUUAUUGACAUUUUCUUUUACUGUAUCUCAAAAAAGCUAUAUUCUCAGGUUUAAAAUGUAUGUUUCUUGUUUCAGAACUAAGUUAACAUUUAUAUUGAAACCACAAAAUCAAGCAGUGUGCUAUCACUGAAUUUCUAACAUUACAGCACAGUAUUCCUUUCGGAGAUUCAUUGUCAUCUAGUGAACCUCAACCAAGACCAGUCUUGUCAUAUGCCACAGUCUAGAGAUGCGUUGCUUAAUUCCACCAUGAUGGCAUAUCUUUUGAAAAUAACCUAUGGUAUGGCUAGCAUUUAACAAUGAUUACAAAAGAAAAUACUCCUACCAUAGAGCGAAUUAUAAUUAAGAAUCGAAUAAUGAUAAUAUGUGAGAUAGCAGGCAAUACACAUAUCAGUUAUAGGUCAGCUGGACCUAUUCGUCAUGAAAAAUGAAACAUAAGCAACGUCUGUGCAUGUUGUGUGCUCCCAGUGCUGAAUCCUAAAAUGAAACAUUAGAUAUGUUGAAGAUUCAAUGAAAAUUUUGACAUAAUAAAAUCCUGACUGGGAUUAAAAAAAUAAGCUGAGUUUUUCAAGUUGAAGUUAUUUUUUCACAAUAAUAUAUUAAUUUGCCACAUAAAGUUGUUUUCUAAAGUGCCUUUUUUAACAUUUUAAAAAUACUUUUUUCUUGCUGAUUGCAAUAGAGUUCAGCAUUCAUAUGUGAUAGAAAAAGCCUUAAAACUUACCAAAUACGUCCACUUUGAAGCAGCAAAGGUUUUAAUUUAUGAAAAUAUGUCUUCUGUGUUUAUGAGGCACUCUUGUAAUAACAGAGGGAAACUUGAAAUAAUUAUACUAUGAUAGAUCCUUGUCCUAUUUUCUCCUUUUCCGAUUUUUGUGUUUGCAGUGACCAUGGAGUUAUGACAACCCAACGCCGAACCACCCAUUAAAAUUCUUGUUGUUAGUUAACAUCAGCAACGAAGCCAGAUGCACACUGCAUAAGAGUGUAGUGAAAAGAGCACAUAGGAGUUUUUAGUACUUUGUACACAUAACACACCUGAACUGAUUACAUGGUAUUUAUUGUAUAUUUAAUAAAAGCCUUAGAUGUUUUAAAGA